Molecule: ribosomal RNA, 425 nt
Filed under: uncultured bacterium
Lineage: Bacteria
Description: partial 16S ribosomal RNA
Rfam family: Bacterial small subunit ribosomal RNA
Source: RNAcentral
GAAUAUUGGACAAUGGGCGAAAGCCUGAUCCAGCCAUGCCGCGUGUGUGAAGAAGGUCUUCGGAUUGUAAAUCACUUUAAGUUGGGAGGAAGGGCAGUAAGCGAAUACCUUGCUGUUUUGACGUUACCGACAGAAUACGCACCGGCUACCUCUGUCCCAGCAUCCGCGGUAAUACAGAGGGUGCAAGCGUUAUUCGGAAUUACUGGGCGUAAAGGGCGCGUAGGUGGUUCGUUAAGUUGGAUGUGAAAUCCCCGGGCUCAACCUGGGAACUGCAUCCAAAACUGGCGAGCUAGAGUAGGGCAGCGGGUGGUGGAAUUUACUGUGUAGCGGUGAAAUGCGUAGAUAUAGGGAGGAACACCAGCGGCGAAGGCGACCACCUGGGCUCAUACUGACACUGAGGUGCGAAAGCGUGGGGAGCAAACAGG